CAAUAGCGUAUAUUUAAGUUGUUGCAGUUAAAAAGCUCGUAGUUGGAUUUCGGGUGGGACGCAGCGGUCUCGCAUUGCGUUUGUACUGCUGCAGCCCUCCUUCUUGCCGGGGGCGGCCUCUCGGACUUCACUGUCUGGGGGUCAGAAUCGGCGAUGUUACCUUGAGUAAAUUAGAGUGUUCAAAGCAAGCUUACGCUCUGAAUAUAAUAGCAUGGGAUAACACGACAGGACUCUGGCCUAUCGUGUUGGUCUAUAGGACCAGAGUAAUGAUUAAGAGGGACAGUCGGGGGCAUUCGUAUUCCGUUGUCAGAGGUGAAAUUCUUGGAUUUACGGAAGACGAACAUCUGCGAAAGCAUUUGCCAAGGAUGUUUUCAUUG
This 377-nucleotide ribosomal RNA is filed under the name uncultured eukaryote. RNAcentral's name for it is "partial 18S ribosomal RNA". It matches the Rfam family "Eukaryotic small subunit ribosomal RNA", at positions 592 to 975 of the family's 1831-position model. The record is from RNAcentral.